Molecule: ribosomal RNA, 1522 nt
Filed under: human gut metagenome
Description: bacterial LSU rRNA
Rfam family: Bacterial large subunit ribosomal RNA
Source: RNAcentral
GCAGCCAUCCAUUCAAAGAGUGCGUAACAGCUCACUGGUCGAGUGGACAUGCGCCGACAAUACACGGGGCUAAGCUGGACACCGAAGCGGCGGGAUUUUAAUUCAUUAGAAUCGGUAGGGGAGCUUCCCAUGGGCGGAGAAGCCGGAGGGCGACCGACGGUGGAGCGCAUGGGAGUGAGAAUGCUGGCAUGAGUAGCGAGAGACGAGAGAGUAACUCGUCCGCCGUGAACCCGAGGUUUCCUGGGCAAGGCUAAUCCUCCCAGGGUCAGUCGGGGGCUAAGGCGAGGCCGGGAGGCGUAGCCGACGCGCAGCAGGCAGACAUUCCUGCACCGCGCACGCGGCGCUACGACCGACGGGGCGACGGAUGGGGGUGGCUCGGCGGGGUUCUGGACGUCCCCGUGAUGGAGCGCGGCCCGCGGACCAGGGAAAUCCGGUCCGCACACAGGGCGAGGCUCCGGACGAAGCGACUGAGCGAAGCGAGUGAGCCCGAGGUCCCUAGAAAAACCCCUAGGCAGGCGCGUGCGCGCCCGUACCGCAAACCGACACAGGUGGGUGGGUAGAACAUACCGAGGCGAUCGGGUCAACCAUGGUCAAGGAACUCGGCACAAUGGCCCCGUAACUUCGGGAGAAGGGGUGCCCGCGCGUACGUGAACCGGCUCGCCCGGGGAGCGGAGGCGGGCCGCAGUGGAGAGGCCCAAGCGACUGUUUACCAAAAACACAGGACUCUGCAGAAGCCGCAAGGCGACGUAUAGGGUCUGACGCCUGCCCGGUGCCGGAAGGUCACGCGGAGGAGUUAGCCGAUUCGGCGAAGCCCCGAAGCCAAGCCCCGGUAAACGGCGGCCGUAACUAUAACGGUCCUAAGGUAGCGAAAUUCCUUGUCGGGUAAGUUCCGACCUGCACGAAAGGCGCAACGACUUGGGCGCUGUCUCGACCAUGGACCCGGUGAAAUUGCACUGGUCGUGAAGAUGCGACUUACCCGCGGAAGGACGGAAAGACCCCGUGAACCUUCACUGCAGCUUGGCAUUGGCCGCUGGUCCCGCGUGUAGAGGAUAGGCAGGAGGCACAGAUCCGGAGGCGCCAGCCCCCGGGGAGCCGCCCUUGGAAUACUGCCCUCGCGCGACCGGCGUCCUAACCCGAGGCCGUCAACCGGCUCGGGGACCGUGCCAGGCGGGCAGUUUGACUGGGGCGGUCGCCUCCUAAAGGGUAACGGAGGCGCGCGAAGGUCCGCUCGGGACGGUCGGCAACCGUCCUUUUGAAUGCAAGAGUACAAGCGGGCUUGACUGCGAGGCCCACAAGCCGAGCAGGUGCGAAAGCAGGCUCUAGUGAUCCGGCGGCCCCGAGUGGGUGGGCCGUCGCUCAACGGAUAAAAGGUACUCCGGGGAUAACAGGCUGAUCUUGCCCAAGAGUCCACAUCGACGGCAAGGUUUGGCACCUCGAUGUCGGCUCAUCGCAUCCUGGGGCUGUAGCAGGUCCCAAGGGUUGGGCUGUUCGCCCAUUAAAGCGGUACGCGAGCUGGGUUCAG